GCUCAGGAUGAACGCUGGCGGCGUGCCUAAUACAUGCAAGUCGAGCGAAUGGAUUAAGAGCUUGCUCUUAUGAAGUUAGCGGCGGACGGGUGAGUAACACGUGGGUAACCUGCCCAUAAGACUGGGAUAACUCCGGGAAACCGGGGCUAAUACCGGAUAACAUUUUGAACNGCAUGGUUCGAAAUUGAAAGGCGGCUUCGGCUGUCACUUAUGGAUGGACCCGCGUCGCAUUAGCUAGUUGGUGAGGUAACGGCUCACCAAGGCAACGAUGCGUAGCCGACCUGAGAGGGUGAUCGGCCACACUGGGACUGAGACACGGCCCAGACUCCUACGGGAGGCAGCAGUAGGGAAUCUUCCGCAAUGGACGAAAGUCUGACGGAGCAACGCCGCGUGAGUGAUGAAGGCUUUCGGGUCGUAAAACUCUGUUGUUAGGGAAGAACAAGUGCUAGUUGAAUAAGCUGGCACCUUGACGGUACCUAACCAGAAAGCCACGGCUAACUACGUGCCAGC
Molecule: ribosomal RNA, 510 nt
Filed under: Bacillus sp. (in: firmicutes)
Lineage: Bacteria; Bacillati; Bacillota; Bacilli; Caryophanales; Bacillaceae
Description: bacterial SSU rRNA
Rfam family: Bacterial small subunit ribosomal RNA
Source: RNAcentral